UACAGAGGGUGCAAGCGUUAAUCGGAAUUACUGGGCGUAAAGCGUGCGUAGUCGGUUAUUAAGUCGGGCGUGAAAGCCCCGGGCUCAACCUGGGAAUUGCGUUCGAUACUGGAUAGCUAGAGUUCGGCAGAGGGAAGCGGAAUUUCGGGUGUAGCGGUGAAAUGCGUAGAUAUCCGAAGGAACAUCAGUGGCGAAAGCGGCUUCCUGGACCAGAACUGACGAUCAGGCACGAAAGCGUGGGGAGCAAACAGG
This 252-nucleotide ribosomal RNA is filed under the name uncultured bacterium. RNAcentral describes it as "partial 16S ribosomal RNA". It matches the Rfam family "Bacterial small subunit ribosomal RNA", at positions 524 to 776 of the family's 1533-position model. The record is from RNAcentral.